This 86-nucleotide transfer RNA is filed under the name Roseibium aggregatum. RNAcentral describes it as "tRNA-Leu". It matches the Rfam family "tRNA". Rfam says of the family: Transfer RNA (tRNA) molecules are approximately 80 nucleotides in length. Their secondary structure includes four short double-helical elements and three loops (D, anti-codon, and T loops). Lineage: Bacteria; Pseudomonadati; Pseudomonadota; Alphaproteobacteria; Hyphomicrobiales; Stappiaceae. The record is from RNAcentral. RNAcentral also lists the same sequence under 22 other names.
GCGGGCGUGGUGGAAUUGGUAGACACAAGGGACUUAAAAUCCCUCGGCCCUAGGCUGUACGGGUUCGAGUCCCGUCGCCCGCACCA